UUUCAUCAGAAGAAAAACCUUCUAGAAUAUUUUUUUUUAAUAGAAAAAUUACAACAAGGAUGGAGUUAUUUCACAGCCCUUUCUUUUUUCUUUUUUGCUAUAAGCCAUUUUAAUCCCCACCUAAGCAUUACUGCAUUAGCAUUCAUUUCCACAAACAUCUAUUGCGCAGUAUACCACAGUUCAAUUUUAAAACGCAAAAUUCCCCAAAACCCUUGCUUUCAUUCACUGUUCUCCGUUGGUCUGUGUAAUUCCACACCUUAAAAAUGCAAACUUUGAACUAAAAGAAACAAAAAGAUAGCAUUUUGGUGUAGAAACAACUGCUUCAAGCUCAAGCACCUUCCAAAUCAAAUUGUUCAAAAACAAUACCUUGCCAUACCAAAUGCUUCUUCUAACAAUUCGAAUGCUCCACACCACACACCAACCCAUGUGUUGUAGAAAAGCCUUGCUGGGUAAUCCACAGUGGAUCCAUUAGUUUUUGCAACAAUUUCAGGUUAGGUCAGAUUCAAUUAUUUGUGCUAUGGUGUAGCUUGUGGAUCACUUGGAAUUUGGUGAGAAUGCCUCAUUGUAUUUCUUUUUUUGGAGGUGGUACUAAUGGGUAGUAAUUCAAUUCAGGUUAUAAGAGUGAAGUGGUGUUUAGGUAAUGGAUGCAGAGUGAAUGGUAAUGAUAUGAGGGUGUGAAUUGUUAGUUAUCUUGGGCAUAAAAAAGAAAACUUUUUUUUGGAGGGAGGGAGUUGUUAUAUUAAGAUUUGGAUGAUAUAUAUGAUGAAUUCUUGAAAUUUCAGGCUGCAAAGAAUGAUAAGGACUCAAAUGGGUCACAUUUGAAUGGACAAAUCCAAGCCCUUGUUGAUAUGCUUGUGGCAGAGGAAGGUAUAUCACUUGGGAGUGUUUUGUAAUAGGUUUCUUGUAUAUGUCCAUGUUACAACGUCUCUUGAUGGUUUUGAGAUUUGAUGUUUAGUUCAAAAAGUGUCGCAUUCUUAUACUUGCUAUGCAUGUAAAAUAAAAUGAUGAUUACAUUGUAAAAUGUAGAAAAUUCAAAUAGGGUGGAGAUGCUUUUUGUCGUCACAAGAGAAGGAAUAUUAGUGUUCAGCCUACCGUGACUGUUUAUUUUUUCUCAGCAGGGCAAUGCAAAUACAAACUACGACUUCCAUUAUAGAAGAAGAGGAAGGGGAGGGGAGGGGGCGGGGGGAGUAGACAAUGCUAUAACAAACUACACACUGUAUCUUACUAGGAAAUAAUCACAAGAACCUACCAUCAGUCUUUGUGAUUCCGUGAAGCUAUCUACCCAUUAGGAGAGACAGGUUCUAAGAUUUUCAGUCAUCAUAUAACAGAUCGAAUGCUAUGGUGGUAUUGAGCCAGGUUUACCGUUUACUGCCUUACGUGUAGAUGACCAAUGUGAAAAUGAAAAGGAGGACUGAAAUGAGUUAAUCUAAAGUGUUGUACUUCAAUGAAAUCUUGAGCCAGGUUUAACUAACUGAUAAACUGUACUUGAGGAAGAUCAGAAUUCUGUGUAUUUUGGGCAAUCUAAGAGUAUGGUAGACUUUUGUUAAAAGAUGCAAGAUUUGGGGGCUGAGUAAAUUACAAUUAUGCAUUUCAUAAGACAUGAUAUAUCAUAUAUGUAAAUAAGGUUGUUUAUAGAUGUAGCUUGAGUGACACAUUUAGCAACUUUGCAACUCACAGUUGUCAUCUAGUCUAACCUUGGUAAUUCGACUAUCAAGUUCGGAGUUCAUAAAUUAAUUGGGAAGAUAUGCAAAUUAUUCUGGAAAUGAUAAAUAGUUUUUGGAUGGAAAUAUUGAUGCUUAACUUUGACUGAAAGGAGAAUUCCUUUUUUAUUUUCGUUUUCUUGUGCUUUUGUUCAUGCAUGUGUAUGGUUCUGGGGUUCAUGACUUGAAAACUUGAUCAUAGAAAUCACACAAUUGUAAAGUUCCAAAUUUUAUUUAUUUAUUAUUAUUAUUUUUUUUUUUUUUUGUGGUGGGGGUGGUAAAUUUUCAUUUAUGAAGCAAGGAGAAAAGGAAAAUAGAAAAAGUUCAAUUAGAUUGGACCUUGUGCAUACUAGAUAGUUGGAUUGAGAUUCUUCACUUAUGUAAAUAUUUCUCAUUCCUGUAGGAGGAACUAUAACUUUGUAAGUUAAAUAUUUUUGGUCCUGUACAUCUAAAUCUUGUUCGUUAUUGUUAUUAUAGUUUUAAUUUUGGGAUGCACUGAUUAUGCAAUUUGAGGUGACUUUGCAAAAAGGAGAUUGCAAAAAAGUUCACAUUUUAAGGGAAAACUCAAAACUGUAAGUUUUUUCUUUGAAUACCCGCUUCUUAUUUUCCUAGUGCCAUACCAUUGAUACUUCCUGAAACUCAUCUUAUCUGUUUCGGAUUUCAUAUCUUGAAUCAUAAAAGAGCUUGAAAAUAUGGACACAUUUAAAAAAAGAAAAAGAAAAA
Molecule: long non-coding RNA, 2423 nt
Organism: Quercus robur (English oak)
Lineage: Eukaryota; Viridiplantae; Streptophyta; Magnoliopsida; Fagales; Fagaceae
Exons: 2
Source: RefSeq, a predicted model, not a curated record